Long non-coding RNA from Oncorhynchus tshawytscha (Chinook salmon), 1856 nucleotides. Lineage: Eukaryota; Metazoa; Chordata; Actinopteri; Salmoniformes; Salmonidae. The record is from Ensembl.
UAUACAUAUGAGAUGAAUAAUGUAGGGUAUGUAAACAUUAUAUUAGGUAGCAUUGUUUAAAGUGGCUAGUGAUAUAUUUUACAAUUCCCAUUAUUAAAGUGGCUGGAGUUGAGUCAGUGUGUUGGCAGCAGCCACUCAAUGUUAGUGGUGGCUGUUUAACAGUCUGAUGGCCUUGGGCUAGAAGCUGUUUUUCAGUCUCUCGGUCCCAGCUUUGACGCACCUGUACUGACCUCACCUUCUGGAUGAUAGCGGGGUGAACAGGCAGUGGCUCGGGUGGUUGUUGGCCUUCCUGUGACAUCGGGUGGUGUAGGUGUCCUGGCGGAAGAAGGUACUCUGGUCAGAUGAAACUAAAUUUAGCAUUUUAGCCAUCAAGGAGAACGCUGUGUCUGGCACAAAUGCUCGGCUAUUACACAGAACCUAAACCUGCGUGCGUGCGCCAUCGUGCGCAAAUGUAUUUUGUCCCCCUACACCAAUCACGACACCAGGUUAAAAUAUCAAAACAAAUUCUGAACCAAUUGCAUUAAUUUUGGAACAGGUCUAAAAGCAUUAAACAUUUAUGGCAAUUUAGUUAGUUAGUUAGCUUGCUAGCUAAUUUGUCCUAUUUAGCUAGCUAAUUUGUCCUGGGAUAUAAACAUUGAGUUGUUAUUUUACCUGAAAUGCACAAGGUCCUCUAGUCUGACAAUUAAUCCACACAUAAAACAGUCAACUGACUCGUUUCUGGUUCUCUCCUCCUGCCAGGCUUUUUCAUCUUUCAACUUAUGUUGAUUGGCAUCUAAACUUUCAUAGUAUUACUACACCGACCGGCAACACAGUUCGUCUUUCCAUCACCCUCAUGGGUAUAACCAAUGAGGAGAUUGGAGAGGCAGGACUUGCAGCAUCGAUCUGCGUUGGAAAUAGAAUGGAGUUCUAUUUUAGCCCAUGGCAAUGUAGACGCUCGCGAGCAGUGUGGGUGCACUAAUUGAAUAACGUAGAUUUCUAAAUUUAUUUUGCAACUCUCGGGCAUGCGGAAUGAGUGGUGUGGUCAGCUGAUUAAAUUAUUCUUUAGUAAAGGUUGAAUAGUCUAUUCAGCUAUUAACCCUCCCCAACUUGCAACAAAUUGCUGUUCCCAUCUCAUUCCUUUCCCUCUCAUGUGUCAUCAUUCUGCUCCUGAGUGGCUCGCUUGUGGGUGUGCUGGCAGGAUAUGGCAGCAUCUUCAGGUGUGCAUCAAGAAUUCUGCAUACAGUAGCACGUUUGUAUGAAGGAAGUCAAAGCGGACAACUACGAAGAUGGCAUCUCAGUCUUUCAGAGAGUGAGCUGAUCAAGGGGUCAAAUGUAGAUAUUGCCAGAUGUUCACUGUCCGAGGAACAGGCUGUGAAAGCUUUAUUGCUGGCAAAAGUCUCCAUAACCAGAGGUUAUAUCAGCUGUUUUGGUGAACCCCUCCAGCAUCUGAAAUGGCUGAAACAGCGGGCACAGCAUGAUCAUAGGUAUGUUUUGAUGUGAGAGGAAGCCAGUCCCGUCAUCGCCACCUCAUCAACUCUUCCUCGCCUUCUGGGGGCCCAAGGCUGGUUAGGAGACACCACAAUUGUGAUGAACUGAGAAUAUUAGGGUAGCACUAAUUCAUGAAUCGUAUGUUGUCUGCUGCUGCUGUUACCUCUUUCUCUUUGUCUUCUAUACCUCUCUCCCCACCUUGACUGACUGACUUGUUUUAUAAUGCACACCAUACAGUUUGAACUUAUAUUUAUGAUAAUUGUAAUAUUAUAAUUCUAAUGCAUUUAUGUAUUUAUGAAACCUGCAUAAUGAACUUCUUUCAAUAGUGUUUCACGUUCUCCACGGGUUGAAAUUAAGUAUCUCAUUGAAAUACUAUCCUGUGUCCUCAG